AUUGAACGCUGGCGGCAUGCUAUACACAUGCAAGUCGAACGGCAGCGCGGGCUUCGGCCUGGCGGCGAGUGGCGAACGGGUGAGUAAUGCAUCGGAACGUGCCCAGUAGUGGGGGAUAGCCCGGCGAAAGCCGGAUUAAUACCGCAUACGACCUGAGGGUGAAAGCGGGGGACCGAAAGGCCUCGCGCUAUUGGAGCGGCCGAUGUCGGAUUAGCUAGUUGGUGGGGUAAAGGCUUACCAAGGCGACGAUCCGUAGCUGGUCUGAGAGGACGACCAGCCACACUGGGACUGAGACACGGCCCAGACUCCUACGGGAGGCAGCAGUGGGGAAUUUUGGACAAUGGGGGCAACCCUGAUCCAGCCAUGCCGCGUGCGGGAAGAAGGCCUUCGGGUUGUAAACCGCUUUUGUUCGGGAAGAAAUCCUCUGGGAUAAUACCCCGGGGGGAUGACGGUACCGUAAGAAUAAGCACCGGCUAACUACGUG
Molecule: ribosomal RNA, 484 nt
Filed under: uncultured bacterium
Lineage: Bacteria
Description: partial 16S ribosomal RNA
Rfam family: Bacterial small subunit ribosomal RNA
Source: RNAcentral